UGGCGGCGUGCCUAACACAUGCAAGUCGAGCGAGGAGAUUCCUUCGGGAUGAUCCUAGCGGCGGACGGGUGAGUAACACGUGGGCAACCUGCCUCAUAGAGAGGAAUAGCCUUCCGAAAGGGAGAUUAAUACCUCAUAACAUUGCAGUUUCGCAUGGAACAGCAAUUAAAGGAGCAAUCCGCUAUGAGAUGGGCCCGCGGCGCAUUAGCUAGUUGGUGAGGUAACGGCUCACCAAGGCGACGAUGCGUAGCCGACCUGAGAGGGUGAUCGGCCACAUUGGGACUGAGACACGGCCCAGACUCCUACGGGAGGCAGCAGUGGGAAUAUUGCACAAUGGGGGAAACCCUGAUGCAGCCAACGCCGCGUGAGUGAUGACGGCCUUCGGGUUGUAAAGCUCUGUCUUCAGGGACGAUAAUGACGGUACCUGAGGAGGAAGCCACGGCUAACUACGUGCCAGCAGCUGC
This 464-nucleotide ribosomal RNA is filed under the name uncultured bacterium. RNAcentral describes it as "bacterial SSU rRNA". It matches the Rfam family "Bacterial small subunit ribosomal RNA", at positions 37 to 518 of the family's 1533-position model. The record is from RNAcentral.